CACGCCGUAAACGAUGAAUACUAGGUGUUGGUGGGCAAAGCCCAUCGGUGCCGCCGCAAACGCAAUAAGUAUUCCACCUGGGGAGUACGUUCGCAAGAAUGAAACUCAAAGGAAUUGACG
This 120-nucleotide ribosomal RNA is filed under the name uncultured bacterium. RNAcentral's name for it is "partial 16S ribosomal RNA". It matches the Rfam family "Bacterial small subunit ribosomal RNA", at positions 796 to 915 of the family's 1533-position model. The record is from RNAcentral.